Molecule: ribosomal RNA, 497 nt
Filed under: uncultured bacterium
Lineage: Bacteria
Description: partial 16S ribosomal RNA
Rfam family: Bacterial small subunit ribosomal RNA
Source: RNAcentral
GAUGAACGCUGGCGGCGUGCCUAAUACAUGCAAGUCGAGCGAACUGACGAGAAGCUUGCUUCUCUGAUGUUAGCUGCGGACUGGUUAGUAACACGUUGAUAACCUACCUAUAAGACUGGGAUUACUUCGGGAAUCCGGAUCUAAUACCGGUUAUUAUUUUGCACCGCAUGUUUCAUACGUGAAAUACUGUCUUGCUGUCACUUAUCGAUUUAUCCGCGCUGCAUUAGCUAGUUGGUAAGGUAACGGCUUACCAAGGCAACGAUGCAUAGCCGACCUGCGCGGGAGAAGGGCCACGAUGGAAAUGAGAAACGGUCAAGACUCCUACGGGAGGCAGCAGUAGGGAAUAUUCCGGGAAGGGCGAAAGCAUGACGGAGAAAGGCCGCGUGAGUGAUGAAGGUAUUCGGAUCGUAAAAAGCUGUUAUUAGGGAAGAACAUAUGUGUAAGUAACUGUGCAAAUAUUGACGGUACCUAAUCAGAAAGCCACGGCUAACUACGUG